CACGCCCUAAACGAUGUCAACUGGUUGUUGGGAAUUUACUUUCUCAGUAACGCAGCUAACGCGUGAAGUUGACCGCCUGGGGAGUACGGCCGCAAGGCUAAAACUCAAAGGAAUUGACGG
Molecule: ribosomal RNA, 120 nt
Filed under: uncultured bacterium
Lineage: Bacteria
Description: partial 16S ribosomal RNA
Rfam family: Bacterial small subunit ribosomal RNA
Source: RNAcentral